RNAcentral lists this unclassified non-coding RNA (348 nucleotides) under soil metagenome. Its description in RNAcentral is "partial contains 5.8S ribosomal RNA, internal transcribed spacer 2, and large subunit ribosomal RNA". The stretch from base 1 to 120 matches the Rfam family "5.8S ribosomal RNA", at positions 35 to 154 of the family's 154-position model. The record is from RNAcentral.
GAUGAAGAACGUAGCGAAAUGCGAUAAGUAAUGUGAAUUGCAGAAUUCAGUGAAUCAUCGAGUCUUUGAACGCACAUUGCGCCUCCUGGUACUCCGGGGGGCAUGCCUGUCCGAGCGUCAUUGCUGCCCUCAAGCACGGCUUGUGUGUUGGGCCCCCGUCCCCGGUUUCCCCCGGGGACGGGCCCGAAAGGCAGCGGCGGCACCGCGUCCGGUCCUCGAGCGUAUGGGGCUUUGUCACCCGCUCUGUAGGCCCGGCCGGCGCCAGCCGACACCCAACUUUAUUUCUAAGGUUGACCUCGGAUCAGGUAGGGAUACCCGCUGAACUUAAGCAUAUCAAUAAGCGGAGGA